UUGCAACCACUUAGGCUGACUGUGCUCUUCCUCACAGGGGCCCAGUGUGCAAUGGCCGCAAACAGCAGCCUCCCGGGCCAUUGCCUGUACAGGUUGCCCUAAGAAGCCGAGGAGACAACU
Small nucleolar RNA from Cervus hanglu yarkandensis (Yarkand deer), 120 nucleotides. Its record names the gene SNORA70. It matches the Rfam family "Small nucleolar RNA SNORA70". From Rfam's summary of the family: snoRNA U70 seems to be exclusive to mammals and is a member of the H/ACA class of snoRNA which contain H (ANANNA) and ACA box motifs. Lineage: Eukaryota; Metazoa; Chordata; Mammalia; Artiodactyla; Cervidae. The record is from Ensembl.